Molecule: ribosomal RNA, 420 nt
Filed under: Paralucilia paraensis
Lineage: Eukaryota; Metazoa; Arthropoda; Insecta; Diptera; Calliphoridae
Description: partial large subunit ribosomal RNA
Rfam family: Archaeal large subunit ribosomal RNA (bases 296-420)
Source: RNAcentral
UAGUCUUUUAAUUGAAGGCUGGUAUGAAUGGUUGGACNANANANNAACUGUUUCAUAAAAAUUUAUAAUAGAAUUUUAUUUUUUAGUCAAAAAGCUAAAAUAUAUUUAAAAGACGAGGAGACCCUAUAAAUCUUUAUAUUUAAAUUAUUAUAAUUUUAUAGAUUUUUUUUGUUAUAAUAAUUGAUAAUAUUUUAUUGGGGUGAUAUUAAAAUUUAAUAAACUUUUAAUUGUUUAAAUCAUUAAUUUAUGAAUAAUUGAUCCGUUAUUAGCGAUUAAAAAAAUAAGUUACUUUAGGGAUAACAGCGUAAUUUUUUUGGAGAGUUCAUAUCGAUAAAAAAGAUUGCGACCNNGAUGUUGGAUUAAGAUAUAAUUUUAGGUGUAGCCGCUUAAAUUUUAAGUCUGUUCGACUUUUAAAUUCUU